GAUCUUCAGAGACUACUGGAAACACUGGAGCAGAGAAUGGAGGUUUCAGGACAAAUAGCCAAUACUUUGACGGGAGGGCCCAGGACCCAGUUUCAGGUAGAACCUACCUUUUCAACAGCAACACAGGGGAGCGUCGCUGGGUAUAGACACGUGAAAACAUUGGCGUAGAACAAAAACUGGAGUUACAGUGAAACUGUUAACUUAAAUCACACUGAGGAUUUGAAACUACUGAUUCUACAUCCAAUAAUACUAUGUAUAAUGCAGAGAAACACAAUAUGUAUGUUUAGUGUGCUACAGUUAUUUCAGUACAACAGUUUACUGCUGCUUAAUGGUAUGACAUAUAUUAAUUAUGCAGAAAAUGCAGUUGUUUAUAACAAAAACAAAACACUGGUUUGCUUUUUGAAGAAGCCACUUAAUGUUGUAACCACUUGUUCAAGGGGAAAGACAAAAAAUGCUGUUGAUAUUUGAGUCACCAGCUGAACCUAACCUAAACAGCUAACCUGAAUAUUACUCACUGGUACUAAGGACAUUGGCCUAAACAGCUAACCUGAAUAUUACUCAGUGGUACUAAGGACAUUGGAUGCUGUGUGAUGUAUUUUGUUCUAUACCUGUAAACUUUGAAAUGCUUAAAUAUGUGGCUUUAUUUUAUUCUCCAUCUAUCUAAUGGAUGCAGUACCUUACUACAUGAUCCCUUAAUAUAUUACUUGUACUCUAGACUGCAAUAAAUAAAUGCCAAUGUGUAUCUUGGCAUGGUAAUAUUGCAUUGUAAUAAAACACUUUUACUAAACUGCA
Molecule: long non-coding RNA, 792 nt
Organism: Protopterus annectens (West African lungfish)
Lineage: Eukaryota; Metazoa; Chordata; Ceratodontiformes; Protopteridae
Exons: 3
Source: RefSeq, a predicted model, not a curated record